GACGAACGCUGGCGGCGUGCUUAACACAUGCAAGUCGAACGGAAAGGCCCUGCUUUUGUGGGGUGCUCGAGUGGCGAACGGGUGAGUAACACGUGAGUAACCUGCCCUUGACUUUGGGAUAACUUCAGGAAACUGGGGCUAAUACCGGAUAGGAGCUCCUGCUGCAUGGUGGGGGUUGGAAAGUUUAGGCGGUUGGGGAUGGACUCGCGGCUUAUCAGCUUGUUGGUGGGGUAGUGGCUUACCAAGGCUUUGACGGGUAGCCGGCAUGGGAGGGUGAACGGCCACAUUGGGACUGAGAUAGGGCCCAGACUCCUACGGGAGGCAGCAGUGGGGAAUAUUGCACAAUGGGCGGAAGUGUGAUGAAGAAACGCCGCGUGCGGGAUGACGGCCUUCGGGUUGUAAACAGCUUUCGCCUGUGACGAAGCGUGAGUGACGGUAAUGGGUAAAGAAGCACCGGCUAACUACGUG
This 468-nucleotide ribosomal RNA is filed under the name uncultured bacterium. RNAcentral describes it as "partial 16S ribosomal RNA". It matches the Rfam family "Bacterial small subunit ribosomal RNA", at positions 28 to 507 of the family's 1533-position model. The record is from RNAcentral.